This 6312-nucleotide long non-coding RNA is filed under the name Sus scrofa (pig). RNAcentral describes it as "lncRNA (ENSSSCG00000058954.1)". The record is from RNAcentral. Lineage: Eukaryota; Metazoa; Chordata; Mammalia; Artiodactyla; Suidae.
AUUUUCUGCUGAUAAAUAUAGAGUAUCCUUUUCUUUUCUAGUAGAAUUUAUUUUUUUAAAGCAGUAUCAGCUUCACAGAAAAAUUGAAUGGAAAUUAUAAAUAUUUACUAUACACAUGCACAGCCUGCCCCACUGUCAAGAUCCCCCACUAGUCUGGUAGAUUUGUUACAGUAGAUGAACCAAUAUUGACACAUCAUCUCCCAAAGUCCAUGGUUUACACUAGGGUUCUCUCUUACUGUUCUAUAUGUGGGUUUGACAAAUGGAUAAUGACUUGUACCCACCAUUAUAGUACCAGGCAGAAUAGUUUCAUUGCCCUGAAAAUCCCCUGUGCUCUGCCUAUUUGCUUUUCUUAUGGGAUGAGAAAAAUGUUGAAAAUUAGGUUGUGCUGAUGUUUGAACAUCUGUGAAUAUACUAAAAAACAUUCAGUUGUACACUCUAAUGAGUGAACUGUAUAGUAUGUGAGCUAUUCAUUAAUCAAGCUGUUAAAGUUUUUUGUGAAGACUUUUUUCAUUAUUUGAAUAUUUUCAUUGUUCAGAUUUUUGGGGAAGUCUGUCUACAUGGAGUCCAGAAACCUACAAAUUACUGACAUUGGAAUAUUUCUAACCUUUCCUUUCUCCUACCUGGUAAAUGAGUUCUUGCCUUGCUUGCAGUUUUUUUUUUCCCUUCACCUCCUCCUCUGAGGGUAACCUGUGAGAAAAAUUCUUCCCCUUUUAUCCCUCAUGCAUAUUUUAAAAAGGAAAGGGAAUGCUAUAAAAAUAAGGCAUGCGUAUUUUAAAGUUGCAAUGGGAUUUUUUUCAGAUAAUUUGACUAAAGGCCCUUGUGUUACUAUAGGAAAUGGAUGGAAAGGGGUUCAUAUUAAGCAUUGUUGUGAUCUAAGCAUCAUUUUCCUAUUACUUGAGAAAUCCAAGUGCACUUUUGCUUAUUUUCAAAUUACGUUUUGAUUGUGAAAACAUAUCCCUAAUGAUUACUGGACAAUUUGAAUCAUGGCUUCAAUUUAUUUAUAAUUUUGGGGGGUAGGCAUAAGGUAAGUUUUGGCUCUCAGCUGAAUCCCAGAACAAAAUCUCUCCAGACUUGAACUAUUUGUUCAUUUUUCCCAUUUUUAUCAGACAGUUGCAACUGGAAUCCUAAAGAAUAGAGGAUUGUAGAGGUAGAGCUGAGAGGUUAUCAGAAUGUCAUCAAACGAAAGAGACAUGGUUAAGGCGAUGCUAAUAUCAAAAGCGAAAAUUGUGGGAACAUUGCUUUUCUGGACUGGAGGUACCAGCGAGAAAAAUAUAUCACACAAUGCUUUGUGAGUCAUACUAAAGUGAGAAAUUAAAAAAAAAAAAAAGAAACCUUUUGGAAGUAGCAAACUGGAAAUUGAUUUUUAUUCCAAAAUGUGUUUAUAUAGACACUUUUUAGGUGCCUAUAGAUGGUAUAAAAGGGCUAGAUGUGAACUGCUUGAUCUUAAACAAUUCUUAAUCUCACCAAAUUUUGGGGGUUUUAUUUGUAAACAUGGGAUUAUACCAGAAAUUUAUGCAGUUGUUUUGAGAUUUAAGAGGGAUAAUAUAUUAAAAAGUACCUGGUACAUAAUAGUUGCUUAAGAAAUGCUAACUUCCUUUGCUCCCUUCUCUUUUCUUCUUUAUGCAAAAUUUCUACUAAUCUCAAAAGAAGCCUCGAAUUUACAUGAAGAUCUUCUUUGACUGAAAACCACAGGGAAAGAUAAUUAAGCUUAAUCGAUGAGCAGAUAUAAACACACAUUAACAGAUGCACCAUUUUAUAGUGGCAAAAGCUGACUGCUUUACAAAUGCUUAUUAUAAAACAUGGCAUUAAUCAAGAAGACUAAUUUUGAUGCUGAUGUGAUUUGAAGUGCUUCCACUCAAACUCCACCUCAGGAAAGUAAUAUAUUCAAUUGGGGCAAAUCCCUGUUGGCUGAUUUUAUGUAUAGUAGCUUUUCUGCCUAUGGGAAUAUGAUUAAUUUGAAAGUGUAACAAAAAGAAUCAGAUGCUAGGAGAACUCAAAUUUAAUUUCUGGAUUAGUUAAUGUUUCAGCUUUUAGGAUUUUCCUUUUAUUCAAGAGCUUUCCCAAGUUAUUUCAUAUGAUCUGAUCUGGAGUGUUCAAAUAUAGGAAAGCAGAUAGACAUGUUUCCAGCAUAUAUUUCUUUGAUUCAUCUGAUAAUGAAAUUUAAUUUUAUUAUAACACUGCAUCAUAUUGUAUUUAGAUAUUUAUCUUUACGUCUUGCCAUCCAGGCAAAUCCCUAGAGGAGGGAAAUACAUUUGGCUUGCUCAGACUUGUUAUCCUAAUAUCUCAAAUUGUGUUUGGUCCACAUGAGUGGACCUAUCAUUGUUUAAAAUAGCCCAAAUUGAGUCAGGGUUACUCAAAACAUUGUUUGAAAAAAAAUUCCUAAAGUUUUAUUUGAUAUUGAUUUACACCAUAAAUACAUAAGUGCUCUGCCUAAAGUAAGCAUAGGAAGUGCAAUAAACAAGAGAGAGAUACAGUCAUAGCCAUUGACUGGAGCUGUGCAUAGAGCAUAGUUUAAUGUUAAGAGCAUGGACUUCAGAGCCAGCCUGCCUGGAUUUGAGACCCACUUUUCCCAUUUUACAGCUGUGUGGCCUUGUUCUGGUUACCCAACUCAUAUGUGCCUCUAUUUUCAUUUGAGAACUAGACAUAAUAGUAUCCUCCUAAAAUGUAGGACAGUGCUCAUUAUCUAAUGAAUACUUUUUCAUAGCUUAUCCAAGACUAAUUUUAGGAAAGUUUUGAUGAGCCAGUCUGAAAGGAAUCAUCAGUUAGUGUGUGUUUCUGCUAAGUACAUAAAGUUGAUUUUAGAGAAAAUAAAGUUCCCAGGCUAGGGGUAGAAUUGGAGCCUAUUGUGGCCAAUGCCACAGCAACAGGGGAUCCAAACCGCAUCUACUACCUACACCGCAGCUCACGCCAACACCAUAUCCUUAACCCACUGAGAGAGGCAAGGGAUCAAACCUGCAUCCUCAUGGAUAUAAGAUGGGUUGUUAACCCUGAGCCACGACAGGAACUCCAAGAUUAAUCUUUUUGCAUUUUUUUAGCUGAGCACUCUUCCCAAAUGAACCAUCUCUUCUCUAAAAUGGAAGAUGGAUUAGCUUAUUCUUUUCGAGUUUCAUUUAAUUCCAAACUUUCCCUGAAGCUCUUUUGUUUGCUUUUUCUACUGUGACAAUAUUGAAGAGUUCUGCUCAGUAUUAUAGACAGUUCUAAUCAAGGCUUCAUUGUACACAAUAUGUACUUAGAAAAAAUCUACACCUGAUUAUGCCAAAGCAAGUUGAGAGUUGUUUUUCAUUUCACUUGGUUGUGGCAUUUUUAUUAGGUCCCAGAUUGCUUACUUUGCCUUAGACAUUUCCUAUGUUAAUUAAACUGAUGAUGGUUCCACUGCUUAAAUUCUUUCCUUUUUAAAGAGUUGAAUGAAGGGGAGAAUGCCUUAGAGUAUUUUUGAAACUUUUGUAUUUAAACUGCAAUAUGAAUAUGUAAUCUUGUUUCUCUUCCUUAUAACCAGUGAAAUUCCAGAGAGAGAAAUAUUUGGAGCCCAAUUUAUAAACUCUUGAUUGACAAUUGAAAAAUUGCUCUUUGCCAAAUAAGAGUAUCUCUUUAGAUGUCAACAAAAUUAAGCACAAUGUACAAACCUUUUUUUUAAUAUUUCAAGAUGAAAGAAAAUGAAUUAAAAAUAAAAGUUGGUGUGACAUUAUGUCAUUGCAUUAUCAGACAAAAUUUGCUAUUUAUUUAUAAUUAGACUAGAGUUUUAGCCUCUGCAAUAUUUUUUCAUAUAUUUGAAAGUCAACACUGAUGGUUAAAAAAUCUUUAAAAUUUCCUUAAAAUCCUUGACACUAAUUAUACAAUUAUUUCUUUUGGAUAGUAUGACAUUUGAGUUUAGGGGAAAUGAGUUAACUAUUGCACUAAUUAUUAUAACUAUGCCAGGCAUCCUCACUCCCUUAAAAAGGACAGUAACUGGGUGUCCUUUCACAGAUCUGGGGAUGUUUCUUUUCCAUUGGCUGCAAUUCUCUUGCAGUAUUAGCAUUAGAAUAACACCCAAGUGUCCUCUCCGUGUUUACAAAUAUAGAGCAAGAAUCAUUACACGGCUCUUGGAUUAAUUUUUUUUUUUUUUUUGAAACAAACGAGGUAGGUUCUUCAAAUGUAAAACAUGGGCUUGAAUGCUUGCUGAUCUUAAGCACAAGUUCCAAGUCAAUCCUACGUUGAUAUUUUUGUGUUAGGCCAGUCCACAGAAUUUGACCCACUAAGGUAUUUGGUAUAUGUGUCCGUAAUAUGCAACUGCCUCCUAAGGACCGAAUGUCUCUGCAGUCAUAUGAUGUUUUCUGAAAUGCGAACACCAUGUAAGAGUAGAUGGUUAAUCCACUCUUUUUUUUUCCUCCUGCUCAUUUUUGCUCUGCUGAAAUGUUGGGACCGCCAAACACUUCUCUUUGCUUAGCUGCAAUUGCUUGGAGAUUUUUCCCUUUCUUUCAUCUGCCAAGAUAAAUGCUCUUUUCUUUAAAACCAGACCUUACUAUUACAAGAAAUAUAUACAUCUUUUUAAAAAAAAAGAGAUAGAGUAGGAAAGAUGUUUUUGGUUCCAGGAGCUACAGAGGGAAAUAUUUUCUUGUUCACUGAGUAUUGUCUUUAAAAUCAUCUUUUAAAUGCAUCUCAGUCAGUAGGAAUACACAACUGGUGUGUGGUUAUAUGUAAAAAAAUAGUAAAACAACAACAACAACAACAAAAAACCAAGCAAACCCAAAAGUAACAAAACUUCCGUAACAUGUCUCAAAAUGAAGAAACAUUUCCAUCUCAGCAUUUAUUAUUCAUCAGAUCUACCAAAUUCUUAUUUUAAUUUUGAAAGCAGCAAGUAUGAUUGGACAUCAUAUCACAGGAAUAUACUUUUAGAAACUAGGCAUUUAAAGAUAGUCUAGAAUAUACUAGUGGUUGACUUAGAGGGUUUAGUAUCAAUAUCAGCUAAGCUAUAUCAAAGUGUAUUUAUUAUUUUUAAUGACUAUCUCAAAUUCAGGGAGAGUGCUAUUACUCAACAUUGUCAACUGAGGCUUAUAGAAAUAACUUGGUUCACUGUCACUGUGGUGAAAAUUAAAUCAAAUUAAAGUUCUGAUUCUAAAGACUGGGGAGGAGGGGAAGACACUAUAAAAUUCCAUUUGUGUGCCUGGCAAGGACUUAAAACUUUACUUGUAUUUGUGCGAAGUUGGUAUUAGUUAAACUAGUCAUUGAAUAUAAUUAGAAACUGGAAAAACACCUUAUAUUUAUAGCUUCUGCAUUUAAGGAGUUUGGAAUCUGUAUUAGCAAUCCAGUGCUGUGUAAUAAUUUAUACACACUUAGGGGCUUGAAACAACGCAUACUUACAGUCUUAGUUUCUGUGGGUCAGAAGUCUGGACAGAACUUAACUGGAUCCUCUGUUUAGUUUUUAACAGGAUGCAGUCAAGGCGUUAGCCAGGGUAGAGGUCUCAUCUGAAGACCCAUCUGAGGAAGGAUCUGCUUCCAAAUUCACCUGGUGUUAGCAGCAUUCAGGUCCCUGACAGCUAUCAGAUUGAGGGACUCUGUUUCUUAUUGGCUAAUAUCCAGAGGCAGUCAUUAGUUCUUUGUCAUGUGGAAUUCUCCAACAUGUCAAAUUUCUGUCCAAUUUAGACCUAAAUAAACUUUAAUUAUAAUUUUAAUUUUCAUGGUUCUCCCUCUCCCUCUCUCUCUCCCCCUCCCUCUGACACAUACACACAUCACUCUUUUUCCUUUUAUUUGUUUCUUACCAACUAUGCCUUACCUAAGGCCUCCAUGGCCUAAAGCACCUCAUAUUUGGGUUUUCAAGUAUUUUCUAUCUUAUGAAAUGUAUGUGUCUAUAUCUGGUGUCACGUGACUCAUUCUUUUUGACUCUACUUUGCCUUUCUUAAGGACCCCUCAGCGAAAAAGAAUAACCAAAGGAAAAUAAUGAGAACUUAAAGGAAAUCUCUUAGUUUAACUAGUUGCCUUAGUUGUCUAUUAGUUUUAGGUCAUAAAAUGCUAGACCUUAAAACCAUACAUCAUGUUUAUUUUCAUUUCUAUUCUCUAAGUGUUCACUGCAGAUUCUCAGUAAAUGCUAGUUUUCAUGCUUAAAUGGAACUUGUCAGUUGAUAAUGAGGCGCUAUGCCUGAUUUUGUUAAUAAGCAAAGACUUGUGUUCUCUAACUAGUCUUGGAAUGCCUGUGCACACUGUCACAGCAGAGGAGGGAACUAAAAGCUUGAUUAAAAAAAAGAAACAACAGCAAGAUCCCCAGUGUGCCCCCAGGGUAGCUGGCAUUGGUUUGUGAUAGCUAACAAGUAAUAUUUUUCUUUUCCAAUUUGCAUUAUC